RNAcentral lists this ribosomal RNA (2932 nucleotides) under Klebsiella aerogenes. RNAcentral's name for it is "23S ribosomal RNA". It matches the Rfam family "Bacterial large subunit ribosomal RNA". The record is from RNAcentral. Lineage: Bacteria; Pseudomonadati; Pseudomonadota; Gammaproteobacteria; Enterobacterales; Enterobacteriaceae.
GGGUUGUGAGGUUAAGCGACUAAGCGUACACGGUGGAUGCCCUGGCAGUCAGAGGCGAUGAAGGACGUGCUAAUCUGCGAAAAGCGUCGGUAAGGUGAUAUGAACCGUUACAGCCGGCGAUGUCCGAAUGGGGAAACCCAGUGCAAUUCGUUGCACUAUCGUUAACUGAAUACAUAGGUUAACGAGGCGAACCGGGGGAACUGAAACAUCUAAGUACCCCGAGGAAAAGAAAUCAACCGAGAUUCCCCCAGUAGCGGCGAGCGAACGGGGAGCAGCCCAGAGUCUGAAUCAGCUUGUGUGUUAGUGGAACGGUCUGGAAAGUCCGACGGUACAGGGUGAUAGUCCCGUACACCAAAAUGCACAGGCUGUGAACUCGAAGAGUAGGGCGGGACACGUGGUAUCCUGUCUGAAUAUGGGGGGACCAUCCUCCAAGGCUAAAUACUCCUGACUGACCGAUAGUGAACCAGUACCGUGAGGGAAAGGCGAAAAGAACCCCGGCGAGGGGAGUGAAAAAGAACCUGAAACCGUGUACGUACAAGCAGUGGGAGCACCUUCGGGUGUGACUGCGUACCUUUUGUAUAAUGGGUCAGCGACUUAUAUUCUGUAGCAAGGUUAACCGUAUAGGGGAGCCGCAGGGAAACCGAGUCUUAACUGGGCGUUAAGUUGCAGGGUAUAGACCCGAAACCCGGUGAUCUAGCCAUGGGCAGGUUGAAGGUUGGGUAACACUAACUGGAGGACCGAACCGACUAAUGUUGAAAAAUUAGCGGAUGACUUGUGGCUGGGGGUGAAAGGCCAAUCAAACCGGGAGAUAGCUGGUUCUCCCCGAAAGCUAUUUAGGUAGCGCCUCGUGAACUCAUCUUCGGGGGUAGAGCACUGUUUCGGCUAGGGGGUCAUCCCGACUUACCAACCCGAUGCAAACUACGAAUACCGAAGAAUGUUAUCACGGGAGACACACGGCGGGUGCUAACGUCCGUCGUGAAGAGGGAAACAACCCAGACCGCCAGCUAAGGUCCCAAAGUCACAGUUAAGUGGGAAACGAUGUGGGAAGGCACAGACAGCCAGGAUGUUGGCUUAGAAGCAGCCAUCAUUUAAAGAAAGCGUAAUAGCUCACUGGUCGAGUCGGCCUGCGCGGAAGAUGUAACGGGGCUAAACUGUGCACCGAAGCUGCGGCAGCGACACUAUGUGUUGUUGGGUAGGGGAGCGUUCUGUAAGCCUGCGAAGGUGGCCUGUGAGGGUUGCUGGAGGUAUCAGAAGUGCGAAUGCUGACAUAAGUAACGAUAAUGCGGGUGAAAAGCCCGCACGCCGGAAGACCAAGGGUUCCUGUCCAACGUUAAUCGGGGCAGGGUGAGUCGACCCCUAAGGCGAGGCCGAAAGGCGUAGUCGAUGGGAAACAGGUUAAUAUUCCUGUACUUGGUGUUACUGCGAAGGGGGGACGGAGAAGGCUAUGUUAGCCGGGCGACGGUUGUCCCGGUUUAAGCAUGUAGGCGGAGGUUCCAGGUAAAUCCGGUACCUUUUUAACGCUGAGGUGUGAUGACGAGGCACUACGGUGCUGAAGUAACAAAUGCCCUGCUUCCAGGAAAAGCCUCUAAGCAUCAGGUAACAUUAAAUCGUACCCCAAACCGACACAGGUGGUCAGGUAGAGAAUACCAAGGCGCUUGAGAGAACUCGGGUGAAGGAACUAGGCAAAAUGGUGCCGUAACUUCGGGAGAAGGCACGCUGAUAUGUAGGUGAAGCCCCUGCGGGUGGAGCUGAAAUCAGUCGAAGAUACCAGCUGGCUGCAACUGUUUAUUAAAAACACAGCACUGUGCAAACACGAAAGUGGACGUAUACGGUGUGACGCCUGCCCGGUGCCGGAAGGUUAAUUGAUGGGGUUAUCCGUAAGGAGAAGCUCUUGAUCGAAGCCCCGGUAAACGGCGGCCGUAACUAUAACGGUCCUAAGGUAGCGAAAUUCCUUGUCGGGUAAGUUCCGACCUGCACGAAUGGCGUAAUGAUGGCCAGGCUGUCUCCACCCGAGACUCAGUGAAAUUGAACUCGCUGUGAAGAUGCAGUGUACCCGCGGCAAGACGGAAAGACCCCGUGAACCUUUACUAUAGCUUGACACUGAACAUUGAGCCUUGAUGUGUAGGAUAGGUGGGAGGCUUUGAAGCGUGGACGCCAGUCUGCGUGGAGCCAACCUUGAAAUACCACCCUUUAAUGUUUGAUGUUCUAACGUUGGCCCCUGAUCGGGGUUGCGGACAGUGUCUGGUGGGUAGUUUGACUGGGGCGGUCUCCUCCCAAAGAGUAACGGAGGAGCACGAAGGUUAGCUAAUCCUGGUCGGACAUCAGGAGGUUAGUGCAAUGGCAUAAGCUAGCUUGACUGCGAGCGUGACGGCGCGAGCAGGUGCGAAAGCAGGUCAUAGUGAUCCGGUGGUUCUGAAUGGAAGGGCCAUCGCUCAACGGAUAAAAGGUACUCCGGGGAUAACAGGCUGAUACCGCCCAAGAGUUCAUAUCGACGGCGGUGUUUGGCACCUCGAUGUCGGCUCAUCACAUCCUGGGGCUGAAGUAGGUCCCAAGGGUAUGGCUGUUCGCCAUUUAAAGUGGUACGCGAGCUGGGUUUAGAACGUCGUGAGACAGUUCGGUCCCUAUCUGCCGUGGGCGCUGGAGAAUUGAGGGGGGCUGCUCCUAGUACGAGAGGACCGGAGUGGACGCAUCACUGGUGUUCGGGUUGUCAUGCCAAUGGCAUUGCCCGGUAGCUAAAUGCGGAAGAGAUAAGUGCUGAAAGCAUCUAAGCACGAAACUUGCCCCGAGAUGAGUUCUCCCUGACUCCUUGAGAGUCCUGAAGGAACGUUAAAGACGAUGACGUUGAUAGGUCGGGUGUGUAAGCGUAGCGAUACGUUGAGCUAACCGAUACUAAUGAACCGUGAGGCUUAACCUUACAACGCCGAAGGUGUUU